CUAAUCUAAUAUAAAUCAAAAUUCUGAAAUAUAAAAGUCUAUCGAAAACAUGAAUGCGAUAAUUAUAAAAAGUUUCUAAUUCGAAAUACUUGACUUAAGAAGAUAGCUAUAUUAGCGUAUGAUGACUUCUGUCAUCAAUGCAGCCAUCUUCGCCACGCAAAUAAGCAAUAUAGAACAAAACUGAAGGCGCAAGAUGGGUGGCAAGUAUCAUUGAAAGCAUUGUAAUUGUAAAAUGAUACGAUUCCAUUUGGGGUAGCAAUGCCGUGAAAAUUGAUAAAAGUGAAAUGACUAAAUAAAGCGUUGACAAAGUUUUGCAUGAAAUUAAAUUUCGAGUUGCUACUCCUGAACCUGCCAACAAUGAGCUUUCCAUUGAAUUUAAGUUAAUUGCUGUCGAAUUUGGAAUAAUUAGUGAAGUAGAUAGCAUGGUAAAAGAUAUUAGUGAUAUUACUAAGCAUAGAACAUUUGUAUAAAAGUAUUCGAUAUGCUGGUCUCCUUUUAAAUAUUUUAUAAUUGAAAAACAAUAUAAUACCCAUAUAAAAAGAAAUGACGAAAUAGUUAACCCAAGAAGUUUAGCCCAAGAACAAAUGUAUUUAAAAUUUCCAACCAUUGUUCCAAUGGAUAACGCACAACUCCUUUGAUUAAAGGCAAAUAGCCUAUUUUUUAUCCUAGAGAUAUUUGUUGUGUGAACUUUUCUAGGCGGAACCCUCGCUACCUUUGCAAUCCAUUGUUGUUUAUAUGCUGCGCAUGAAAUCUGGCUCUGCGCUUCGACAUCUUUGAGUGACGAAUGAAAAUGCCCGAUUCCACCUACAGUUUGUUUAUUUUGCUGCAUUGAUUUAAACGAGUUUUAAGGCAAUAUGAAAAUACCUUAGUGCCUAAUGAGGUUCUGAAUUGAAAUAAAGUAGAUAAUUAUUUAUUCUCCCUCAAUUUAUACAAGCCAGUGACUUGGGU
Molecule: non-coding RNA, 948 nt
Filed under: Cryptosporidium parvum
Lineage: Eukaryota; Apicomplexa; Conoidasida; Eucoccidiorida; Cryptosporidiidae
Source: RNAcentral